Molecule: long non-coding RNA, 4583 nt
Organism: Drosophila yakuba
Lineage: Eukaryota; Metazoa; Arthropoda; Insecta; Diptera; Drosophilidae
Exons: 2
Source: RefSeq, a predicted model, not a curated record
CACUUUUUUUUUCCUAUUAUGGACUGAAAAAUUGUUUAAACAAUUAGUUUUUACUAAAGUUAGAGUUUUAAUCACUAGUGGUGACUUUUAUCUAAAAAACGAGUCUAAGUUGAGCUUUAUAUUCGCAAUCGUGAUUACCGACUGAAAAAAGUGGUUUCGAGAAAACACGCUUUAAAGUUUUUGGAUCCAACCUGAAGUGGCAACGCGCAAGAUGGGUCCUGGCAAGAUAAGGCCAAAACUAUUCGUAGUACGACUUUCCAACUUUGGGAUUUUGAAUAAUAAUAAUAUUCUUGAAUAAUUUAGCUAUCAAAUUAAAGAAUAAAACAAAAAUCGAUUUUUUUAAAGUUUUCCGUUUUCUGAGGUUCUGGGGUUCUGAGAAAAAUUGCUGGCGAAAGCACUGGAACGACACUAUCCCAAAUAGUAAACAGCAUUGCAUCAACAUCUAAUAACACGGGCUCAUUGCAAAAUUCAACUCACACUUACCCAUUGCUUACAACAAGUAGUAAAACUAACGUGACCUUCACGAUUACUCAAGCUACAACAACUUACACCGUUGCGGCUACAGCAGACAUGAAACGUAAAUGAGUUGUUCAGGCAUCCGAAGUUACCUGUAAGGCUAGACAUCAUAUUACUAAUCUCUCUUACUAAUCAGAUGACUCUAAAAUCAGUGGAAAACAGUCGUCAAAUGUGCACUCCAAGCCUCCAGCUAUAUGUGUCCUAGAUAUUAACAAUAUCCACGCUUUCGAACAGUGCACCGCGGUGGUGAGAAUAACUAUAGUAAUAGCACCUCUAGAUUUUAUGUAUCACGGGUAUACACAGCCAAUUCUGAUGCUUUUCGUGCUGUUGUGAGGCAUUUAUCAAUGAUAAAUAGUUUUGGCAUCAUAAGCUUAUGGCUAAGCUAACGGACGCAAGCGUGCCCAAGGUUCAAAUUGUAACUUAUUUUGUUGACCUUGGUUUUGAAGUCCUUAAUAUACAUUGCUCGAGGAAAGCGUAUUGGCAAAACGAACAGAUCUCUGAAAAAGACGACGUAGCGACAAUCAAUUACAUAACCUUUUUUUUAAACUAAAAAACAAGGACCUAAUGUCGACAAAGUACUGAAAAUAACUCAACUAGGCAGACAUCGAGUCAUUGUAGAGUGUGAGCGUCGCAGAAAAAAAGUAUUUCAAUGUUUGAGAUGCCACAUAUCUCCAAGAACUAUUAUCUUCAGAAUCCAAUUUGUGGUAAAUGUGGUAAAUUUAUUGUGCAUUAAUUGUGGUGAUGAUCAUGCAUUAACUGACAAAGUCUACCCAGUGAGGAUCGAAAAAUUAGGAAAAAUAAAACUAAAGGGCCUAGACCCUUUACUUCAACCUUAAAUGGCAACACUGCUAAGCCAAAAAAUAUAAAUUCAAUAAAAUAUAAAUUCGGCUUCAGUCCCUAUGUUGCAUUAAGUGGCGAUAUGUAAUACGCCGACAUAGAUCGUUCUAAUGGGGUUCAACUUGGCUCAAAUAUGGCUAAGAAAUCUCAGAGAGGAUCAGAAUCAGUGCAAGACCUUGGCUUUGGGAAAAAUUUCUGCCACUGGAAACCGGCUGGAUAUUAACGCUAGAAUGAACAAAAUGUUUAAAUUGAUUGAGGAGACUGUAGAGUUUAACAAAGCAUUUUAAGAAGUGGUCAUGCUUCUUUUUUUCUCGGAUUCCAAAAUGACUGAUACAAUCAUAAAAAUCGGAUUGUGGAACGAGUCUUCCUAAAUGUGGACAAUAUAGAUAUCAUGUUUGUCACCGAGUCACACAUACGUGAAGCAGAGCUCAUCUAUUUACUAGGAUACAUUUCUUACCACGUCUACCAUCCCAGUGGCAAUGGCAUAGGAGGUGCCACAAUCAUUGUGCGUUCGUCCUUGUGCCACUGUCCCCAGCCUCACAUCUUAACGAAUGACCGACAAAUAGCGAUAGUUCAGCUGCAGACAUCGAUGCUCGGGGCUAGAGGCAGAUUGUUGCAGGAAGUCGUUGCAAAUGGCCAAUACCAAAUUUUAGCCAACUUUUUACUCUUCGUUACACCCUCUGUUAAUACCAUCUUCACUGGACUGCUUCAUAACAACAGUUAUGACAUGAGUAGGUUUAAUAUCAGAACGCUUCAUGAGCUCCCGUCGGAUCACACUAAACUUUUGGCAGAUUUGCACGCUAGGCCGCUGAACAAGAUACAACGCACACGCUUACUCGCUCGUGGAGCUUAUGUAAUGCAUACGGUACAGCAAGAAAUCUACAAAACUUACAAGUUUCCCACCAGACUCGGCUUCCCUACAUAAUAGGUAAUCUACUUCGACUACAGCGAAAGGUCAGGAAAGAAUAUGCGAGAUAAGGAGAUGCCAGAAUCCAGUAAAUUUACCAGAGACUUGCAAAUCGCCUCCAUAAGGCACUGGCAAUAGAAGACAGCAUCAAAUAGGUGAGGUAUUGGAAAACCUGGGCACAUAUGCUACAAUAAACUACUCUCUUUGGAAAAUAACAGAAAAAUACAAGUAUCACCCUAAUCAAAACUCAGCUAUAAGGGUCUCGACAGGAGGCUUGCGAGAUACCAGAUGUAAUCGAAACGUUGUUAUAAUUGCAGCACAUGCUGACGACAUUGCACUACAAAUGUACUGUGUACAUUUUUGAACCGGAUAAAAAUCUGGUCUGGUGUCUUAAUUAGACCAAUACCCAUUAUAAAUACCUUGGUGUUGCAGAUCCCCGCACAAGAACACGAAGAAGACUCAAACAUCAUUACCCUCAAGAUCUGCCGGAUCGGGUUUUGACUUAACAUGUAUGAACAAAGUUCCAAUUGAUGUUAUUCAUGCUAUCUAAAGCCCCAACCCAAUAUAAAUCUAUAUAAAUAUGUAAAUAGUAAAAAUAAUUUUAUAAGAAAAAUGUCUCAUUACAUGUAAAGAUAAAAAAAAAAAUACAUAGCACAGACAUAUACAUAGUAAAUCUAAUAUCAUACACAACAGACAUGCUUAGAUCUAUUUUAGUUUAUGUCAGGUUGUAUGGCUCUCUUUUAUUUAUUAAUCAUUACUGAAAAUCCUGGGAGAGGUUUCUCAAGUAAAAACUAUUAAAAUGCGACUCAGAUCUAGCAGCCUAGCUCAGAUUUUCCAAUUUAAAGUCAUCGGUUGCAAUUGGACUUUAAAUUUAUUGCGCUGGCUUCUCGGUUCUAUGCUUACGAAACGACUGCUCGCACGAGCCAAAUUUUUCUCUGAGCAUAAAGCUUCUCAGUAGAAGAGUAAUCCAUUGAUAGCCUAGAAAUUAAGCUCGUAAGUAAGCUACUAUGCUUUGUUUCUUAUUUCUUAUCUUAGUUUACAGAUUUCAACAAGUAUUUUAUUUUAACUUAAACAAAUGCUCCAACAUUCCGGCCCCGUUUAAGACCUCCAGCACUUUAACCUUUUGGUCGCUGGUAAUUGGCAACAACGCAAGUUGCGCUCUACCGUCCUUGCCGAGCGUUAUUGCCACCACGCGUCCUGUAAGCCUCCGUUGCGAGCUCCAGAUUGUGGAGUUAUGUGCUCCAUUUGUGGCGCCAGAUAAUCCUGCUGCUUGAGAGCGGACAGCAUUCGGCACCGCUUCAAGUACCCGAAGCCGCCCUUGCUGGAGAUUCCUCCAGAUUCGGAUUCUGGCCGAUCUGCAGGUGUCCGGGUGUCAGAGCCUCUCCAUCGUUGGGGACGUUGCCAGGCGACGCGAUGGGACGAGAAUUAAGCAGAGCCUCUACCUCUACCAGCAACCGCGUUUCCUCUCAGUUGAUCCUGAUUGCGGUAAAACGCUACGUGCAGGUCUUCGGGGACCUUGCUCGAUCCAACGAAGAUGAUGGCGUUGUCGCUGUAGACCUUCUGCGGCAAACAUCUCCUUCCGACAAGGCUUUUAAAAACAGAUAGAAAGCUGUCAGUAGAUAGAUCGACGACGAGCUCAAGAUGAACCGCCUUUGAUCAAAAACACUCGAAAAUAGGUCUUACUGGAGGGCUUUCCGAGAAGCUUCAACAAGACAUAAAAUGGACCUCAGAAAUCAGCUCCACAGACCAAAAAUGGGCGAGCUUUCUUGACCCGAACGGCGGACAAAUUACCCAUUAUCUGAUCAAGCAGAAUAGGUUUAUACAGAAAACAGUGGACACAGCCACGGACAUUCUUUGUGCAUGCUUCUCCAAUAUGGAUUAGCCAGAUCUACUGCCUCAAAAGCGACACCAUCACUUUGGCACCUUCAUGAUAAUGCUUCCGAUGUAAGUUCCGAUGAAACAACGCAACAAAUUCUGACUUUUGGAACCGCAAUAGGGGAAAUUUGGCAUCAUACGAAAUUGGCGCAUUAAACAAUCUGCCUCCAACACGAAUCAAGCGAAAUGUCACACCCUCUACCUCGCUGGUGUGCACGAAGGGACUUAAACGUUGAAGAUUUGCAGAUAACCCUUCACAUUUCUCUAACUUUAUGUAUUCUGAACCAAACUCCAAUCUUUAAAUUACUUGGGCUAGAUUAAAAAAAAGAUACCUUUAGUUCCUUUGCCGAAAUAACCACCUCACGCAGACAUUUCUUCCCCUGAAUUAACCAAUGUACGUAUGCCACGAUCCGAAGUAGUUUAUUAAACGACAAACAUCUUCCAAUAA